Molecule: ribosomal RNA, 497 nt
Filed under: uncultured bacterium
Lineage: Bacteria
Description: partial 16S ribosomal RNA
Rfam family: Bacterial small subunit ribosomal RNA
Source: RNAcentral
GAUGAACGCUGGCGGCGUGCCUAAUACAUGCAAGUCGAGCGAACGGACGAGAAGCUUGCUUCUCUGAUGUUAGCGGCGGACGGGUGAGUAACACGUGGAUAACCUACCUAUAAGACUGGGAUAACUUCGGGAAACCGGAGCUAAUACCGGAUAAUAUUUUGAACCGCAUUGUUCAAAAGUGAAAGACGGUCUUUCUGUCACUUAUAGAUGGAUCCGCGCUGCAUUAGCUAGUUGGUAAGGUAACGGCUUACCAAGGCAACGAUGCAUAGCCGACCUGAGAGGGUGAUAGGCCACACUGGAACUGAGACACGGUCCAGACUCCUACGGGAGGCAGCAGUAGGGAAUCUUACGCAAUGGGCGAAAGCAUGACGGAGCAACGCCGCGUGAGUGAUGAAGGUCUUCGGAUCGUAAAACUCUGUUAUUAGGGAAGAACAUAUGUGUAAGUAACUGUGCACAUCUUGACGGUACCUAAUCAGAAAGCCACGGCUAACUACGUG